This 398-nucleotide ribosomal RNA is filed under the name uncultured bacterium. Its description in RNAcentral is "partial 16S ribosomal RNA". It matches the Rfam family "Bacterial small subunit ribosomal RNA", at positions 523 to 918 of the family's 1533-position model. The record is from RNAcentral.
AUACGUAGGGUGCGAGCGUUGUCCGGAAUUACUGGGCGUAAAGAGCUCGUAGGUGGUUUGUCGCGUCGUCUGCGAAAUUCCGGGGCUUAACUCCGGGCGUGCAGGCGAUACGGGCAUAACUUGAGUACUGUAGGGGAGACUGGAAUUCCUGGUGUAGCGGUGAAAUGCGCAGAUAUCAGGAGGAACACCGGUGGCGAAGGCGGGUCUCUGGGCAGUAACUGACGCUGAGGAGCGAAAGCAUGGGUAGCGAACAGGAUUAGAUACCCUGGUAGUCCAUGCCGUAAACGGUGGGCGCUAGGUGUAGGGGUCUUCCACGACUUCUGUGCCGUAGCUAACGCAUUAAGCGCCCCGCCUGGGGAGUACGGCCGCAAGGCUAAAACUCAAAGGAAUUGACGGGG